UACGUAGGGGGCAAGCGUUGUCCGGAUUUAUUGGGCGUAAAGAGCGUGUAGGCGGCCAUACAGGUCCGUUGUGAAAACUCGAGGCUCAACCUCGAGACGUCGAUGGAAACCGUAUGGCUAGAGUCCGGAAGAGGAGAGUGGAAUUCCUGGUGUAGCGGUGAAAUGCGCAGAUAUCAGGAGGAACACCGGUGGCGAAGGCGGGUCUCUGGGCCGAUACUGACGCUGAGGAGCGAAAGCGUGGGGAGCAAACAGG
This 253-nucleotide ribosomal RNA is filed under the name uncultured bacterium. RNAcentral describes it as "partial 16S ribosomal RNA". It matches the Rfam family "Bacterial small subunit ribosomal RNA", at positions 524 to 776 of the family's 1533-position model. The record is from RNAcentral.